This 253-nucleotide ribosomal RNA is filed under the name uncultured bacterium. Its description in RNAcentral is "partial 16S ribosomal RNA". It matches the Rfam family "Bacterial small subunit ribosomal RNA", at positions 524 to 776 of the family's 1533-position model. The record is from RNAcentral.
UACGUAGGACCCAAGCGUUGUCCGGAUUUACUGGGUGUAAAGGGAGCGCAGGCGGAUUUUCAAGUCGAUGGUGAAAUCUUGCGGCUCAACCGCAAAACAGCCGUCGAUACUGUUAAUCUUGAGUGUGGAAGAGAGUGGCGGAAUUCAUGGUGUAGCAGUGAAAUGCGUAGAUAUCAUGAAGAACACCGGUUGCGAAGGCGGCCACUUAGUCCAUUACUGACGCUCAUGCUCGAAAGCGUGGGGAUCAAACAGG